GACGAACGCUGGCGGCGUGCUUAACACAUGCAAGUCGAACGGAAAGGCCCUGCUUUUGUGGGGUGCUCGAGUGGCGAACGGGUGAGUAACACGUGAGUAACCUGCCCUUGACUUUGGGAUAACUUCAGGAAACUGGGGCUAAUACCGGAUAGGAGCUCCUGCUGCAUGGUGGGGGUUGGAAAGUUUCGGCGGUUGGGGAUGGACUCGCGGCUUAUCAGCUUGGUGGGUGGGUAGUGGCUUACCAAGGCUUUGACGGGUAGCCGGCCUGAGAGGGUGACCGGCUACACUGGGACUGAGAUACGGCCCAGACUCCUACGGGAGGCAGCAGUGGGGAAGAUUGCACAAUGGGCGGAAGCCUGAUGCAGCAACGCCGCGUGCGGGAUGACGGCCUUCGGGUUGUAAACCGCUUUCGCCUGUGACGAAGCGUGAGUGGCGGUAAUGGGUAAAGAAGCACCGGCUAACUACGUG
Molecule: ribosomal RNA, 468 nt
Filed under: uncultured bacterium
Lineage: Bacteria
Description: partial 16S ribosomal RNA
Rfam family: Bacterial small subunit ribosomal RNA
Source: RNAcentral